This is a long non-coding RNA of Aegilops tauschii subsp. strangulata, 2541 nucleotides long. RefSeq lists it as uncharacterized. The record is from RefSeq and is a predicted model, not a curated record. Lineage: Eukaryota; Viridiplantae; Streptophyta; Magnoliopsida; Poales; Poaceae.
UAUUUUACAGUUGACUGUUUUUCAAUUUGCCUACACUCAAAUCUCUCUCCGUCCGCUCUUGCGCAGAGAUUCGCGUUGUGAGGUUUGGUUUUCGGGCUGGUUUUUGCUGUCGGGCGCGGUUUUUCUGUCUCAGCUCGUUACCGUAACGCCCGCCCGACCCCUGUUUGGUUUUGUCCUUUCUGAAUUUUCGGCGCGGUUUUCCCUUUUCAUUCGAGAGUCACUGUUUCGAUAAAGCAGAGAGAGAGAGAGAGGGGAAGGGGCGCUCGAGCGGAGGAGGAGGAGACCAGGCGAUUCGUGUCGUUCAUGUCGAUUCCGAGACCCCCCCUCCCCCCACCUGUCGAGCUUGAUUUCUCUCCCCUUUCUCUUCGAUUCAUGACGUCUUAGGUUGGUCGGCCUCGUCAUUCUCCCUCCUGCACAUGAUUUUUGAUUGUUUCUGGGUGUGUGGCUUUCCAGAUCUAGGUGAAUUGCUGCCGUGAUUUCUUUGUGGGUUCGUGAUUGGUGUUUGUAGCCGCCGUGUUGUUGUAGAUUCGUGGUAGGCGCUGGUAGUUGUCUCGUUUUUUUUUUGGUUAGAUGUAGAUGUAUGGAUUAGAUGCAGGGUUUCAGAUGAGUGUUUUUGUGGUUAGAGUUUGGUGACUUGCGCUGGCAGGUGGUCUUUAUGUUCGUGGAUCCUGUUGGUUUUUUGUAGUAGAUACAUGAAUUUUGGUGAGGUUUAGUUGUAGUUAGUUGUUAUCAGUGGCCUCUACUGCAUGCAGUGCACAGGUUCCAUGACUUCUGAGUGUUAUCAAUGGCCUCUGGGUGUAUCAGACUUACCCCAGCCUCCAGUUAGCUCUGUUUUUGGUGUAUUUUCCAGGUUAUAUUUUCUAUUUUCCCCUGUGUUCUAGCCCUGUACUUACCCCUAGUUUGUGAGUGUUGGUUCUUAUCAAUGUAUUUUUUCAGUGCUCAUGUAUUAGAGUGUAAGCACAAUAAUUUAUGUGUUCUUUUGCUAGUAUUUGUUUUCUGAAGUUCAUGUAGGUUAUCUAGAUUAUCUAUUGAAUUGUGCGCUUUUCUCUGUAUUUUUAUGUGCUUUGCACUUCAAUUCCUCUAUUCUUUCAUUUUUCUAAUGCUCCUGGUUGAUUGAACCAACCAGGAUUUGCAGUGUAACUCUAUUUGUAUUGAGUCUGUAUUUUACUUAUGUUUCUGUAGUGUAAUUAUCCUAGAGUUACUGCGUAAUUAUGUCCAGAGUUUCAGUGUAAUAUAGGCCAGAGUUACUGUGUAAUUUCCCUGAGUUGCAGUGUAAUUCCCCCCAGAGUUACCGUGUAAUUCUCAUGCUUAUUAUAUGUACUUGACCCUAGAGUUUUACACACUGUGAUUACCCCAGAGUUACUGUGUAAUUACCCCAGAGUUCCAGUGUAAUAUACCUUAGAGUUGUUGUGUAAUUUGUCCCAGAGUUUCAGUGUAAUUACCCCCAGAGUUACUGUGUAAUUCACAUGCUGCUUACAUAUUAUCCCAGAGUUAUAAUGUGUCCCAUUUUUUACAGUGUAAUUUUGUAUGAUUCGGUUAUGUAAUUCCUGAAAUUUUGGCUUUCAUUCUUGUUGAUUGUUCGAGUGUCGUUGUGGUGCAGUUAUGAACUAUGUCCUGUUUACAGUGUAAUCUUCCCAAGAAUUCCAGUGUAACCCUAGUUUUACAUUAUAAACGCCUUGCUUAUUCUAUGUAUUUACAGUGUAAUGUUCCCAAUAAUGCAGUGUUAUCCCAGAUUUACAGUCUAAGCCCCCUUGCUUUUAUUUCUGUAUUUAUAGUGUAAUUUCCGCCCUAAUUUUUAGUGUAAUAUUCAUGCUUCAGCUCUGCAAUUUAUAGGUUUUAGUUUAAUGGGUAAGCUUCGGAAAGUCUCUCGCCAGGACGUUACAUUAGUAUCAUCUUCGGAAUUUGCAUUUGUGGGUUCGGUUCUGUUGCGCCUUCUUCGCUUGGUGUAGCUUUGUUUUGCAUUUCUUCCAAUGUCUGCAGCAGAGUUCUCAAGAUGUAAGUUUCUCAAUUUUUUGUCAGGUCAUGAGUUUUUCACCAAUAGUUUCACUUACUCUAGAAUGAAUUGUUGGGCUGUUGGUGUUAUGUGUUUUGUUACUGGAGUCCUCCACUCUUAAUUGUGUUGUUGAUGUAGCCCCAUUUGCCGAAUGUACCUGCAAUCACCAUGUUAAGUUAACUGGAGUUCUUGUUGGAAUAGCAUACUAAGAAAACACUCUUUUUUGUCAAGAGGUUUGGUACCACUACUGUAUUUCAAAGUUGCUUUUCUGACCUUGUACAUAAUGUCUUAUUGUAGGAGUGCUGUAAAAGAAAACGAUUCCUACAAUGUAUUUUUUGUGUGAGCUAUUUUGAUUUUGAUGUACGCAACAUUUUCUUGUGAGUUUUUGCCAUUUAGUGAUACUCACAUUUUGAAUGAGAUCUUCUUGUGAUAGUGACAGUAGAUUGUCUUUUGUUAUUGUUCUUCUCAUGCUCCCCAUCUACAUUUUUUUGUAAAGAAUUAUCUGUGAAUUACUGGAUCUGUAUAAAAAGUCGAGAAUUAGGAGGACA